This 484-nucleotide ribosomal RNA is filed under the name uncultured bacterium. RNAcentral describes it as "partial 16S ribosomal RNA". It matches the Rfam family "Bacterial small subunit ribosomal RNA", at positions 30 to 507 of the family's 1533-position model. The record is from RNAcentral.
AUUGAACGCUGGCGGCAGGCCUAACACAUGCAAGUCGAGCGGAUGAAGGGAGCUUGCUCCUGGAUUCAGCGGCGGACGGGUGAGUAAUGCCUAGGAAUCUGCCUGGUAGUGGGGGAUAACGUCCGGAAACGGGCGCUAAUACCGCAUACGUCCUGAGGGAGAAAGUGGGGGAUCUUCGGACCUCACGCUAUCAGAUGAGCCUAGGUCGGAUUAGCUAGUUGGUGGGGUAAAGGCCUACCAAGGCGAAGAUCCGUAACUGGUCUGAGAGGAUGAUCAGUCACACUGGAACUGAGACACGGUCCAGACUCCUACGGGAGGCAGCAGUGGGGAAUAUUAGACAAUGGGCGAAAGCCUGAUCCAGCCAUGCCGCGUGUGUGAAGAAGGUCUUCGGAUUGUAAAGCACUUUAAGUUGGGAGGAAGGGCAGUAAGUUAAUACCUUGCUGUUUUGACGUUACCAACAGAAUAAGCACCGGCUAACUUCGUG